CUGGGUAGCUUAGUUGGUAGAGCAGUCGCCCGGCAAGCGAAAGGUCCCGGGUUCGAGUCGUCCCGGUCCAG
Molecule: transfer RNA, 71 nt
Filed under: Lasius niger
Lineage: Eukaryota; Metazoa; Arthropoda; Insecta; Hymenoptera; Formicidae
Rfam family: tRNA
About the family: Transfer RNA (tRNA) molecules are approximately 80 nucleotides in length. Their secondary structure includes four short double-helical elements and three loops (D, anti-codon, and T loops). Further hydrogen bonds mediate the characteristic L-shaped molecular structure. tRNAs have two regions of fundamental functional importance: the anti-codon, which is responsible for specific mRNA codon recognition, and the 3' end, to which the tRNAs corresponding amino acid is attached (by aminoacyl-tRNA synthetases). tRNAs cope with the degeneracy of the genetic code in two manners: having more than one tRNA (with a specific anti-codon) for a particular amino acid; and 'wobble' base-pairing, i.e. permitting non-standard base-pairing at the 3rd anti-codon position.
Source: Rfam by way of RNAcentral